This 292-nucleotide unclassified non-coding RNA is filed under the name Hevea brasiliensis (rubber tree). Lineage: Eukaryota; Viridiplantae; Streptophyta; Magnoliopsida; Malpighiales; Euphorbiaceae. The record is from RNAcentral.
UUACAAUGGCAUUUUCUGGGAUGGUAGCAUCACCUACGGGGGCUACUCCGAAAUGCUGGUUGCAGAUCACAGGUACGUGGUGCGCAUACCGGAAACCCUGCCGAUGGAUGCAGCAGCGCCUCUGCUCUGCGCAGGAAUUACUGUGUUCAGCCCCAUGAAAGACAACGGCCUGCUAAAGUCUCCAGGGAAAAGGAUAGGGAUAGUUGGUUUAGGGGGUCUUGGACACGUAGCUGUGAAAUUUGGCAAGGCAUUUGGUCACCAUGUAACCGUGAUUAGUACCUCCCCAUCUAAA